RNAcentral lists this ribosomal RNA (610 nucleotides) under bacterium SCSIO13223. Its description in RNAcentral is "bacterial SSU rRNA". It matches the Rfam family "Bacterial small subunit ribosomal RNA", at positions 60 to 664 of the family's 1533-position model. The record is from RNAcentral.
AGUCGAACGGCAGCACGGGGCGCAGCCCUGGUGGCGAGUGGCGAACGGGUGAGUAAUACAUCGGAACGUGUCCGGUAGUGGGGGAUAGCCCGGCGAAAGCCGGAUUAAUACCGCAUACGCUCUACGGAGGAAAGGGGGGGAUCUUAGGACCUCCCGCUACAGGGGCGGCCGAUGGCAGAUUAGCUAGUUGGUGGGGUAAAGGCCUACCAAGGCGACGAUCUGUAACUGGUCUGAGAGGACGACCAGCCACACUGGGACUGAGACACGGCCCAGACUCCUACGGGAGGCAGCAGUGGGGAAUUUUGGACAAUGGGGGCAACCCUGAUCCAGCAAUGCCGCGUGUGUGAAGAAGGCCUUCGGGUUGUAAAGCACUUUUGUCCGGAAAGAAAACGCCGUGGUUAAUACCCGUGGCGGAUGACGGUACCGGAAGAAUAAGCACCGGCUAACUACGUGCCAGCAGCCGCGGUAAUACGUAGGGUGCAAGCGUUAAUCGGAAUUACUGGGCGUAAAGCGUGCGCAGGCGGUCCGCUAAGACAGAUGUGAAAUCCCCGGGCUUAACCUGGGAACUGCAUUUGUGACUGGCGGGCUAAAGUAUGGCAGAGGGGGGGUA